UGUGCAGCCCGCAAGAAAAAGCCGAGGGGGUUCUUUAUAAUCCAAAUUAGGGGGCCAAAAUGGGAACUUCUUCUCCCUAUUUUUAACCGGGGGCGGGGGAGGAAAACCCGGGUGGAAACCCCCCCCUUUAAAACUGGGGAAAAUUCUCGGGAAAACCGGGGGGUUUAAUCCCGGGAAUCCCUUUUUUGAACCCGCCAUGGUUCAAAACAUUAAAAGGUGGGCUUUCGGUACCCACUUUACAGAAUGGAACCCGCGGGGGCCUUUAGCUUAGUUGGGUGGGUAAAUGGCUUACCCAAGGCAAACGGAUGCGUAGCCGACCCUUGGAAGGGGUAUUCGGCCCACACUGGGGACUGAGACCCCGGCCCCAGAUUCCUUCCGGGAGGCAGCCGUUAGGGAAUCUUUCGGCAAUGGACGAAAAUCUGAAGGAAGCAAACCCCGCGUGAGUGAUGAAGGUUUUCGGAUUGUAAAAGUUCUGUUGUUAGGGAAGAACAAGUACCGUUCGAAUAGGGCGGUACCUUGACGGUACCUAACCAGAAAGCCACGGCUAACUACGUGCCAGCAGCCGCGGUAAUACGUAGGUGGCAAGCGUUGUCCGGAAUUAUUGGGCGUAAAGGGCUCGCAGGCGGUUCCUUAAGUCUGAUGUGAAAGCCCCCGGCUCAACCGGGGAGGGUCAUUGGAAACUGGGGAACUUGAGUGCAGAAGAGGAGAGUGGAAUUCCACGUGUAGCGGUGAAAUGCGUAGAGAUGUGGAGGAACACCAGUGGCGAAGGCGACUCUCUGGUCUGUAACUGACGCUGAGGAGCGAAAGCGUGGGGAGCGAACAGGAUUAGAUACCCUGGUAGUCCACGCCGUAAACGAUGAGUGCUAAGUGUUAGGGGGUUUCCGCCCCUUAGUGCUGCAGCUAACGCAUUAAGCACUCCGCCUGGGGAGUACGGUCGCAAGACUGAAACUCAAAGGAAUUGACGGGGGCCCGCACAAGCGGUGGAGCAUGUGGUUUAAUUCGAAGCAACGCGAAGAACCUUACCAGGUCUUGACAUCCUCUGACAAUCCUAGAGAUAGGACGUCCCCUUCGGGGGCAGAGUGACAGGUGGUGCAUGGUUGUCGUCAGCUCGUGUCGUGAGAUGUUGGGUUAAGUCCCGCAACGAGCGCAACCCUUGAUCUUAGUUGCCAGCAUUCAGUUGGGCACUCUAAGGUGACUGCCGGUGACAAACCGGAGGAAGGUGGGGAUGACGUCAAAUCAUCAUGCCCCUUAUGACCUGGGCUACACACGUGCUACAAUGGACAGAACAAAGGGCAGCGAAACCGCGAGGUUAAGCCAAUCCCACAAAUCUGUUCUCAGUUCGGAUCGCAGUCUGCAACUCGACUGCGUGAAGCUGGAAUCGCUAGUAAUCGCGGAUCAGCAUGCCGCGGUGAAUACGUUCCCGGGCCUUGUACACACCGCCCGUCACACCACGAGAGUUUGUAACACCCGAAGUCGGUGAGGUAACCUUUAUGGAGCCAGCCGCCGAAGUGAACAGAAAUUGAA
RNAcentral lists this ribosomal RNA (1524 nucleotides) under Bacillus subtilis. Its description in RNAcentral is "bacterial SSU rRNA". It matches the Rfam family "Bacterial small subunit ribosomal RNA". Lineage: Bacteria; Bacillati; Bacillota; Bacilli; Caryophanales; Bacillaceae. The record is from RNAcentral.